Molecule: long non-coding RNA, 973 nt
Filed under: Apteryx owenii (little spotted kiwi)
Lineage: Eukaryota; Metazoa; Chordata; Aves; Apterygiformes; Apterygidae
Description: lncRNA (ENSAOWG00000000157.1)
Source: RNAcentral
AAUAGGAGGAGACCUAUGAAUUCUGCUGUGUUGAGUGCAAGACUCUCUGCUCUAAUGCCUACCUCGUGCUGCAAUUUUAGGUGGCAAGUUCCCUCCCAGACCAGCCCCAUCUGACUGGCCUAAACUGUGACAGCCGAUCUGCUGCCCAGCUGUACCUGGAGCAGGAGGGAGGCCACAGUGAUGUGCUGUGGGAGCACCUUUUGGGGCUUGAUGCUCAAAGCCCUACCAACAGCAGCCUUCGAAAGCCGCAUAGCUCCAGGGCCGCUCUCUGAGGGGACCCCCCCAGCCAUGUGUGUCCCUUGCAUGCCACUAGGAAUCCAAGGGAUAAUAAGAUAAUGGAUUGGGAUGAUGUGGUAGCUACAAGACACACUUCUCCAAACCACACAUGCAGUCUGGUGGGAUCUUAUCCGUCAAUGAAGAGAAAAGCACUGUUGGGAUGAGGCACAGUAGUUGAGAGAGAAACUACCCAGCCAUUCUGAAUGUGAAAAGAAUACUGUGGCUGGCUGGCCUGAAAGAGACCUUGGAUAAGCAGAAUGUAACUGCUUCCAGUGGCUUGCCAAGAUCUGGGUGGGAAAAUCCUUCCUUUGAAGAGGAUUUCCCAUCUUCUACGAAGGACUCCCCAACUGCUGAGCUUUGUUGCCGUGGCCUCGUGUCUGGGAUUUGCUUUCCUCAGGACCUUGAAACCUAUUCCCCUCCCCAACUCCUCAUGGAGUUCUCUGCAGUCUGUCUCUGGGAGGAUAAGAAAAGCUUCAAAAGAAAAAGGCUUCUGCAGCUGAGGUCAGUCUGUUACUUUGGAAACUCUCUGGACUGUGACCCCGCAUCAUGGAAGGAUUCGGCAGAGUGAACUGAAAUGUGCUGGCGUAUCAGAAGUACAGUCAAGGGAUGAAGAUCAAGACAGAGAACAAACAGUCCUGCUGAGCUAGAGCCCUGACCCCCAGUGUGCAAGGAGCUGUCAAGCCAAUCCCUGGCUGUC